RNAcentral lists this long non-coding RNA (1175 nucleotides) under Pollicipes pollicipes. RNAcentral describes it as "uncharacterized LOC119104554, transcript variant X1". Lineage: Eukaryota; Metazoa; Arthropoda; Thecostraca; Pollicipedomorpha; Pollicipedidae. The record is from RNAcentral.
ACCACUUUCCUUUAUCCCAUAGCCCUGAAAUGAUCAUGUCUGGUCGAAAGGGCUCUAAUCCAAAAACCUUAAAAACCUCGGCGUUGCGAUCUGUUGUGUUGGAAACGUUCACUGCCCGCGUACCAGGGGUGCGUGGUGGUUGCGCGUAGUUUUGGGUGCUUAACAAAUAUUUAUCGCACUUUUCGAUUAGGUUGGGGCAUUUGCGCUUGUCUCUUUAUAGCCUCGGGUCUUCUGCGUUGAACCUUUGCCUGUAUUGUCAGUUGCCAGGCAUGGGUAAACUUCCAUCACGUAUGAAAGUGCACUGGGCACGUAAACUGUGGUUUUAAUGGGGGAGGAAGAAAUUUGAAAAGGCACAUGAACACUAAGCACAAAGGGUUGCCCAUUGUUCUUAAGAAUUCAUGUUUUAGUUCAGGUGGAACAUGGGAAUCUUGGCUCCAAGGAAUGAACAGUGGCACAGAUGGCAGAGAACAAUGCACCAACACUUUUGAGAUGCCAAGUAGGUCAUCCAGUCUAGCUUUGUCAUCAGUGUCUGCAGACCAGACUGGAGGUCCGUCCUAUCGUGGCGUUUUGUGCUGCCCUGGUCCGCAACUUGAAGGCAAGGAGAGAGGGAGCUGGCGCGGAUGGUGGAAGAAAAGGAACAGCAAACAAGGCGAUCCUGGACAACAUGCUCGAUGUCCGGUCGGCUGGUGACCUAAAGGGUUUCCAGACCUAACAAAAAUCAGUCGACGCCCAGCUGAGGCAUGACAAUGCCGCGAAGGAGCUCAGGAUUGGAUGGAAUGGUCCUGAGCUUGAUGGUGCCGAACAUCUCAUAAGAGCUGUUCAGAAGCGUCACCAGUUUGACUUCGUGAGGCAGUCUGUCAACGUGAAGCACGUGCUCACGGGAACGGUGAUUGCCCGACACAGAGCAUGCCGAUCAUAUCGCUCCUGCCUUUUCAAGUAGUUGAAGAGAAAAGGAGUGCUGGCAUCGUGAGUCAGCCCUUGGAUCAAAUUUUGCGUGCGCGGUUAACGUUCUGGAGCUCACGGCGAGUGCUGAAGCACUGUAGGCAGGGUUCUUAGGCUUUCGUUGUGUGCUGAACUGUACGCGGCGUAUUUGGCAUUUUGUACUGACACCAUGUCGACGCGAUUAUGUACGUACCCAGGGUGAAUUCAGUGUAAAUACAAAAAAUCGUCGCGAA